Molecule: ribosomal RNA, 197 nt
Filed under: uncultured bacterium
Lineage: Bacteria
Description: partial 16S ribosomal RNA
Rfam family: Bacterial small subunit ribosomal RNA
Source: RNAcentral
ACGCUCGACACCUACGGGAGCAGCAGUGGGGAAUAUUGCACAAUGGAGGAAACUCUGAUGCAGCGAUGCCGCGUGAGGGAAGAAGGUUUUCGGAUUGUAAACCUCUGUCUUUGGGGACGAUAAUGACGGUACCCAAGGAGGAAGCUCCGGCUAACUACGUGCCGGCAGCCGCGGUAAUCUGAGCGGGCUGGCAAGGC